Molecule: ribosomal RNA, 141 nt
Filed under: Escherichia coli
Lineage: Bacteria; Pseudomonadati; Pseudomonadota; Gammaproteobacteria; Enterobacterales; Enterobacteriaceae
Description: partial 23S ribosomal RNA
Rfam family: Bacterial large subunit ribosomal RNA
Source: RNAcentral
GGGUUGUGAGGUUAAGCGACUAAGCGUACACGGUGGAUGCCUAGGCAGUCAGAGGCGAUGAAGGGCGUGCAAAUCUGCGAAAAGCGUCGGCAAGGCGAUAUGAGCCGUAAUACCCGACGAUACCCGAAUGGGGAAACCCAG